AUUGAACGCUGGCGGCAGGCCUAACACAUGCAAGUCGAGCGGCAGCGACUUAACUGAACCUUCGGGGAACGUUAAGGGCGGCGAGCGGCGGACGGGUGAGUAAUGCCUGGGAAUAUGCCCUGAUGUGGGGGAUAACUAUUGGAAACGAUAGCUAAUACCGCAUAAUCUCUUCGGAGCAAAGAGGGGGACCUUCGGGCCUCUCGCGUCAGGAUUAGCCCAGGUGGGAUUAGCUUGUUGGUGAGGUAAUGGCUCACCAAGGCAACGAUCCCUAGCUGGUCUGAGAGGAUGAUCAGCCACACUGGAACUGAGACACGGUCCAGACUCCUACGGGAGGCAGCAGUGGGGAAUAUUGCACAAUGGGGGAAACCCUGAUGCAGCCAUGCCGCGUGUGUGAAGAAGGCCUUCGGGUUGUAAAGCACUUUCAGUAGGGAGGAAGGUAGUGUAGUUAACACCUGCAUUAUUUGACGUUACCUACAGAAGAAGCACCGGCUAACUCCGUGCCAGCAGCCGCGGUAAUACGGAGGGUGCGAGCGUUAAUCGGAAUUACUGGGCGUAAAGCGCAUGCAGGCGGCCUGUUAAGUCAGAUGUGAAAGCCCGGGGCUUAACCUCGGAAUUGCAUUUGAAACUGGCAGGCUAGAGUCUUGUAGAGGGGGGUAGAAUUUCAGGUGUAGCGGUGAAAUGCGUAGAGAUCUGAAGGAAUACCAGUGGCGAAGCGGCCCCCCGGACAAAGACUGACGCUCAGAUGCGAAAGCGUGGGGAGCAAACAGG
RNAcentral lists this ribosomal RNA (768 nucleotides) under uncultured bacterium. RNAcentral's name for it is "bacterial SSU rRNA". It matches the Rfam family "Bacterial small subunit ribosomal RNA", at positions 28 to 776 of the family's 1533-position model. The record is from RNAcentral.